This is a non-coding RNA of Rattus norvegicus (Norway rat), 9091 nucleotides long. The record is from RefSeq and is a predicted model, not a curated record. NCBI's taxonomy places the organism in Eukaryota, Metazoa, Chordata, Mammalia, Rodentia, Muridae.
UUUUUUUUUUUUUUUUUUUUUUGUCCCUUACCAAAACAUCCUGGAUCUGGGCUCCCAUCAGCACCAGACAGCUUCCUCAUUCCUUCUCAUCGCUCUACCGGGGUUUGUUGUUCAGCUGUCCCAUGCCUUGUUUAACUAAGCUUUUCUUGAUGGACGUCUGGGUUUAUUUCCAGCUUCCAGCCCCAGCCAGUGGAGCUGUGAGGAGUUAUCUUGCACCCACGUUACUGCCAGAGUAUCUGGUGGCACUCCCAGAGAGUGGCGGGAAGGGCACAAGGGAUAUCUGUUGAUUUUUGUGAUCCUCUGUGUCACACAGUCCACCCCACCGAGCGCUACCCAUCAGCCUCUCGCCCCAGGUCAUUACUUCUCUAUAAGGACACAGUUCUCCUCUGUGCAAAGCCUCUCUCCAGCCCUUGGUGUCUUUAGUUACUGUCCUUAGAAUGGACGUCUUCCUUUUCUACACCAGUGCACAGCUCCCAGGUAAAGGCCGUGUCUCAGAUAGGUUUCUAGUGCUCUGAUAAACGCCAUGGGCAAACCUAUGGAGGAAAGAGGUUUUUUCUUCUUACAACUCUCAGGGCACCGUUCAUCAUGGAGGGGAAUUGAGGAAGGAAUUCAAGUCAGAGACCUGGAGGCAGAAACUGAAGCGUAGGCCAUGGAGGGACAUGCGGACAUUACUAGAUUGCUCGACGUGACUUGCUCAGCCUUCAGUCUUGGACAACUGAGGACCAUCUGCACAGGGGUGGUACAUGGUUAGAUGGUUUGAGUUGAUCAUUUUAAACCUGUCUCUUUGAGUCUUGUUCAUGAGUUCAUAAGACGUCCCUGCCCUGGCUGGAGAGAUGGCUCAGCGGUUAAGAGCACUGACUGCUCUUCCAGAGGUCAUGAGUUCAAUUCCCAGCAACCACAUGGUGGCUCACAACCAUCUGUAAUGAGAUCUGGUGCCCUCUUCUGACCUGCAGCCACAUAUGCAGGCAGAAUGCUGUACAUAAAAUAAAUCUUUAAAAAAAAAAAAAAAAAAAGACGUCCCCGCCCCAGCUAUGAGGUAUCUCUGGCAUUUUCUCCAAAUCUGGCUGUCAGUGGAUCUAACCUCGCUACAAGUACGGUUGGGAGAUCACAGCUGCAGAGACGUCGUAUGUAGUCCUGUCACUGCUGGUCUGUGAUUCUAGGAUGGGGAAGAGUGAUCCUGGGAGCCCCAGCUCAGCUCCCAAUCUGCCACCUGAUCUCAGAUGAGUCCUUCCUCUUCUCACACGUCAGAGCUGCUAAGCAGGAGCCAAUCCACAGACCACUGGCUAAGGCUCAUGAUGUCUGAGAGGGACUCUGCACAUCUUAGACGGUUUAAGUCUAGUUUCUUUUUAUAUUAUUUGUAAUAAUAAGAGAGCCGAGAUUGGGUAUUUAACAUGUAGAUAAGGACACCAGGAGUCCCAGGUUUGGUGGCUGCCUGUGCCACAAGCUUCUCUGAAGAAGGGUCUGUGCUGUCCCGCACAUGGCAGAGAGGGCAGAAGGCGGGGGCAUUUGCAAAGAAUGAAAAAUGGCUGAAUAUGCGAUAUAGCCAACCUGUUCUUUGGAGAGAAUAAUCCUUUCAGGAGAGGUCGGCUCGAUGCCUCUCACUGCUGUCCCAUCAGAGACUCAAACAUCGGCACGAAUUCUGUCUGUUGAUAAAGACUAAGAUAUAAGCUUCCUCUUCAGUCAGAAACCAUGGAACCCAGAUACCAAACUGCUACUGUCCAUGACGAACCUCCCUCCUAGUGCUCAUGCUUCCAAAUGACAAGAUGCUGUAUCCAUGGGGACAAGAUGCUGUAUCCAAGGGAACACUUACAGGAGAUCUGGGCCAAGCAGGUCCUGCUGAUGUUUUGCUGCAAGGCCCUUUUACCAGUGGUGUGGCCAGAGCAUGCCCAUAGAUCUUGGGGGGUCUGCCGAUCUGAGCAUGCAGCAGAAAGCCACGUUGAUGAGUGAGUCCUCAGGUGUCCUUACAGUGAGUUCUACUCACUAUAAAGUGUCUUUACGAGUGAGUCCUCAGGCAGAGAUGUCCUUAGCUCCAGGUCUCAGUCAGCAGAACCCAACAUAGGCCCAGCUCUUCUGUCUCUCACAAUCUUAUUUACCUCAAAGGUCCCCAAUCGUCAAGAGUCGCCAGUUCCUGUGUGUCUUAGAGUCUUGGUCAUUGAACUUGCAGAAUGACCAUGAUAACAGCAGACAGAAUGACCACACAGACCCUCUGUGUGGAAACAGUUUAUCAAACACUUUCUGCAUUCAUCAUGCUUCUGAACAUGGACUCCCACUAGAGUUGUUCUUCUGCGACCUUCCGGUGUGGAGGCUCAUCUGGGGUCCCAGUGGGACUAGGGUUCCCACCCUUGGGAAGUGGCAGCUAGCACUUUUUGGGGGAUCCCAUCUAAAACAUAGUCUCUGAAUCCACCAUCCCCACAUAUCAGCCUGGGAAGGACCCUGGGAGCUGACACCUGACACAGCUGUAGCAUUUGAGGAAAGACUUGGAAUCUAGUCUUCCCAUCACCCAAGGGUUGGGGCAAGGUAAACGCUCAUCUUACAGACCAGACCAGAAAGGAGCCUUUCUCUCAGCAGUGUAGUAGCAGAUACUCAGUUAUAAAUUAGACCCAGAGCCCGGGAAUUAGCUCAUUGGUAAAGUACUUGGUUCACAUGUGUGAGGACCCGAGUUCCAUCCCCUGCACCCUUCUAAACAGCCCAGCAAGUGGCUUGAGCUUGUAAUACCAGUACUGGAGAUGCUCUCUGACAUAGCUGGGUCCACAGUCUUGGUGCCUAGCUAGUGUACCUUAAUUGGUGAGCCCCAAGUUCCAGAGAGAGAGCCCCCACCUCAAAAGACAACGGGGGGUGUUCCUGAAGAAUGAUACAUGAGGUUGAUCUUUGGCCUCCAUGGAUCAUGUGCACACAUGGGUACAGGCGUUCGCAUGCACACGUUAACCUAUACAUACGCACACACUGCAAAUAACAUAACUCAAGACCUUCUGUCUGAACUACCUGGGCCUUUGCUCAGCUCUUCAAAAACACUCAAGUCAACAUCUAUUGGAAAGAGGAAGAGCUUCAAAGAGACCCCAGAUGGCCUGGCUCUGACCAGAGAGAAUUGACUGGGGCUGGAUGUACUCUGUAGGGUACUUGUCUCUUGUACAUCUUUUAAGGACAAGCUAAAGGUGUGUUUACUGUCUAUCGCAUGCAAGCACCAGUCUUGGGGUCCAAGAGUCCGUGUCCAAGCAACUUAGAAGUCCUGGCAUUUAUUACAUCACGGAAUGUCCAUAGUUUAUUCCUUUGUUACAAAUACAGCAAGAAAUCCCCACCAACUGGAGGGAGAUCUGAAGUCCAAGAUGAAGGCAUGGACAGGCCUGACCCCUUCUGAGAGCUGUUAGAGAUCUUCUAGGCUCAAACACAAGAGGGAAAGACUAGACACAAAUGGAUGUCUGGGAGCAGAGAUCUGCAGAUCCUGUGCCGGGUGACAUACACAUUCCUGGUUUGUUUCUCAGCCAGGUCAUUAAGGCAAAUGCUAAGGACCUGCCCCCGUUUUGCAGAUGGAAAGACUGGAUGUUGGUUUGGAAAGGGGCAGGUUCAAACCUGGAAGUGUGAACUGAUCGAUCGGUCUCCACUGUGCCACUCUUCUAGAACAUCUGUGUUUGGAGCGGGUGGGAGAAGGAGGGUGUGGAGCUUGUAUCAGCUAGGCAGCCACAACCCCAGGGAGGGGUAGCAGUCUCCGCCUUCACCCUCACCUUGCACCUUGACAAUCUCCAGUGUGUGUGUGUGUGUGUGUAUGUGUGUGUGUGUGUGUGUGUGUGUGUGUGUGUGUGUGCGCCAGUGUCCAGCUCCCUGCUAUGGUGCAUUGUUUGCCUGAAAUGGUCUCCCAAGGCCCACCAUGUGGCUCACCUCUUCUGACAAAACUGUAGCCAAGCUUUGACAGAAGGUGCCCAUCACUGGAAAGUGACUGUGUUUCCCCUGUCCCGUGCCUGGCUUUGUGUCCAGGGCUGGUGGAAAAAGCAGAAAGUUGACAAGAUGAUGUCUGUGGCUCUCACUGAAGGUUUAUCUCCUCCCAGAAAGUGUCAGGUCACGUGCCAGGCCCCUGGGGGUUGGGGAAUUUACAACUUCUCAACUCUAGUAUCCUCGUUGGCAACCCCACCCCACGCGCUAUGCUCUGUUGAUGGAUUCAGAUGUUCUGUGGAGUUUAAUGUUGCCACUGCUGUGUUUGUGUUUUCAAGUUUCUCCUCCCCAGUAGCCAAAUCUGAUUUUUCACCUAUCUCCCAUAAUGGUUAAUAUUGACUGUCAGUUUGAGGGGGAUCUGGAGGCAACCAGAUUCUGAUCAUAUUACUUAAGGGGCUAUCUAAAUUAUGGUAAUUGAGGAGGAGCGAUGUUCCUGAGUAUGGGGCAGUGCUAGUCCAUGGACCGAGGUCCCAGACUGAAGACAGAGGAGAAGGCGGGCAGAGCACCAGAGUCCAUUACUCUCUGCUUCCUGACUGUGGACAAUGGGAUCAGCUGCCUCGUGCUUCCACUGCUAUGGUGGACAGCGCCCCCCCAUAUCUGUAAACUGGAAUAAACCCCAUGCCCCUUAGGUUGCUUCUUGCCAGGUAUUUUGUUACAGAAACGAGGAGAGAAACUAAAACACCUCCUGAUGAAAAGCUGAAGACACUAAAUGAAUUUCUCAAUAUCUUAUUGUUUCAUGUGAAAUGAUAUCAUGUCAUACCUGAUAUAAGCCUCAUUAAUUCAUACAAUGAAAAAAAAAAUAAAGGGGCAGAAGAGUAAAAAUUUUCAAAGAAUGCUAGACACUGAGGAGGUGGUGAAGAGACCUCCAAGUCUCCUCUGCCGUCACCCAUGAUCAUCCUGUGCCAGGUGCUGUUAGAGCUCAGGGCGAUGGCGCUCCCUUAGAUGUGUGCAGGGCCAACAUGAGGCAGAUGGAAAAGGAUUCUGGAGAUUAGAGAUAGUUCUUCAUCCCAGGAGGAAUGGUACCUACAGACAAACAUGGCUGACAUCUGAAAGAACAGGUCUCUACUUCCAAUUCUCCCCCAGCCUAUGGAGGAAACCAGGUGUGGGGUGACUGGGGUGGGAGAGGGGCUGCAGCAGGAGAGGCUAGCAUUAGGAGCCUGUCUCCUUGGGGCUAUUCCUCUACCCUAGCUGGCUUCUGAAAGGGCAUCUUCAUUUUCAUGGUGCAGCCAUAUUUCCUGGACCCGAACCUAUAUGCUGUCCCAUAGAACUCUCCUCUUUGAGCUCCCCUCAGUCAUCAGUGAAUACCCUCGAUAGUUCUGGCUCUUAGGAAUGGCUCUCUGCAGGGAUGAGCGCAGUGGCUCAAUAAACACCUGUUGUUGGCUUACACACACUAAAAAUGUUGAUGUAAAUAAAAAUUUAAAAUACACACACACACACACACACACACACACACACACACACACACUGACUUGCUUCAAGCCCUGUAUAGUCUCUGCAUUUGACUAGCAAAGCCUGGAGUUAUAGUGAGAACAUGCUGGGAAUGGCUCUGGCAUAGACACCCCAGCUCCGUAGGGUGUGAGAAACACUGGCUCAUCCCCAGUGCCCCACUUCCCAGGGUGACCAUCACGUCUUUGCAAUGGUCAUUCGCCAACAGAGUCUGCAGAUGAUAUUUCUGGUCUCUACCACAACUAAACUCCUGCGUGUAAAAGAAAGAGAGAGAGAGAGAGAGAGAGAGAGAGAGAGAGAGAGAGAGAGAGAAACGGGUUCAGAUCUGUGCUGCUAUGACCUUGGGAGUUUAGGUAGCCACUUGACGGUGCUGUGUGCCUCAGUUUCCCUGGGGAUUAUAAUGACAUCAUCCCAUAGUUGUACAAUAAAAACAAACAUCUCUCUGAAAAGUGUUUGAGCAGCAGCAGCUGGCUGUGGCAUGUUACCAUCCUUCCAUGGUGGCAAGGACCUAGCUGUGUCUCCCUGAUGACAAUGUUUUUGUUGUGUCAGUUGCUGCUAAGUCAUGACCCGAGUUUACCUUGGCGACUUGUUUCCACUCUCAGUAGAAAAUUGAAUUUGGAUAGACUGCAGCCGCACUCGGCUGCUCUCUGGGUCUUGGCCAGUGAGUGGCUUUCAGUCACUGCAGACAGGGCAGAGUCAUUGGGAUUGGAUAUUUUAUGCCACUGCCCCAUAGGUUUGGAUGAGCCUCUUGUAAGACAGCUUGUCGGACCAUCUAACAGUGGACUUUCCAGGUGCUCGGGUCACUCCGGGUGUCAGCCGGAGAAAGCUGCUCUCGUGGCACUGUCAUACAGUCUCUAUAUCCGGGGCAAUGCCUUCUGUCUGUGUCCGGAGCUGCCUUUCUUUGCUUCACGCGGCUUGGCUGAUCCCCAUGUCUGGAUGACGCCCAGCUCCAUUAUCCACUGCUUUCCGGGGCAAAUGGUAGCAGCGCUCCCACCUGCUGGGCCUUGACUCCUUCUGCAUCAGCUUUACGAACCACAAGCACAAGCACCUUCUCCAGUCCCACGUCUCACUAACCUAAGCUCCUUGGGGAGCAGAGGCAGAGCUCCAGUCCCCCAUGGUUGCUUUAGACUGGAACAUAGAUCGUCACCAUGCAUUUCCUUCAAGCGCAGUCAGUGGAGUCAGUGCACCUGCUUCUCAACUGUUCCCCUAUCGCUCAUGGAAUAUUGCUGACUGACUUGAAGCCCACGGACCCACUGCCGAUGAAUGCCCCAUCCCCGCUUCCUCCCGGACCCCAGGUCUGGCUAGUAGACGGCUCCAUACAUCGACAAGUCACGUGGCGGGAGUACUCACAGCCUGAGGCAUAUCCCAUGAGUCUCUGCGCCCUCUCAAUAUUCUCUACUUAUUUGUUUGUUAAUUUGUCUACAUCUGGAAGUCCCUAGACAUGUCGGGCCAGGCCACAGAGACCACGCAAGCUGUCAAAGUAGAACCCAGGCUCUUCACAGGCUUGGGGUGGCCAGGCUAUGACCACUGGCGGCACCCUACAUUUUAUCAAUGAUGUAGGAACAACACCCUUUCCGGAGCUCUUUCCUGAUGCCACUGGCAUCAGAUGCAAAGGGAGUCGAUGCUAGGAAAAAAAAAAAUCCGCCUGACGAUUUAUCCCAUUGGCACAGAGCCUAGAAUUAUAAUCAGAUCUUUACUCCUUCAAAGCCUCUUGCUUUGGAUUUUUCCAAAUGAAAAACAAGUAUUGAGGGCAAUUACCUUCCUUUCGUCUUCUGAUGUACGAAGGGGAGUUUUCACCCGUCAGUCCACGAGCUCUCCCAUUUUACUCUGAAGGCUUCGGCCCGUAGUCUUGUUAACUCAGCACCAGCACUGUCUGUCUAGGUUGUGGCUGAGGAGAGAGAGUUGUUAUGCUGUGAAUUAAUAUUUUCCCCCUUUUAAGAAGGCUCUGGCUGGCCAGACACUCCUUUGCUGACAAAAUCUUCUGUUUUCUUCCUCUUACUGGAGGCAUUGUUUACCUGAGUCCACUUGCUUGCUGUUAUCAAGACACCCUCCAGGGGGCAGCAGACCACAGCCUCUGUGUGUGUUUUCCUCCCACAUACAACUUAAACUGGUCCCAAGUGGAGGUCAGAGGAGUUGGACUCUGGCCUUCUUCUCCGGGCUUCUCUGGACUCCACGUGAGAGCGUGUCUCCUGGAGGAAAAGCAAAGCCCCAGCCAGCCUUAUUUCGGGACAGCUGUGGACAUGACCAGACCUAUUAAUUACUUAAUUGAGGUGCAGGGCUUUGAAGAUGAAAAGUACUUGGUAAAUAAGUGGAGAAUUCGGUGGCUUCCAGCCCAGGAACAUCUUUUCAAGGUAUUGUGUUCCCUCCGGUGACCUUUGCCUGCAAGCACAGACACCCCUGCCUCCACUCCCCACCCCAGCUGGAGAAUCAGGGGUGUCUUCUAGGGGGAUCCUCUAGCAAAAUCACUUUGAUCUCAAGCCACACCCCAUUCCCUGGCUCUAACAACUAAUUCUAUCUUCCCUACACAUGGCACUCACACAUGCACUGACUGUCACAGGUCCCCAAGGCAACGGAGCCAGUGUAAAAUGGGCACUCUGUAGCUCUAGCCACCAAUCAGGUGGGCCCUCCAAGCAUGAGGUCAACAUAUGAACAAAGCCCUUUCCCUCCUUGUAAGGUCCCAGUGACAAACCCAACUAUAAUCUUCCAAAUUGAACCUGUGGAAUUAAGGAGUUAAUUUGGCUUAUAACAUGGGGUUGGGGGUGGGUGUGUUAGCUGCCCUGGACAGACUUCACUCAGCAUGGAGGAUGGAGAGCCCCUCCAUUAAUCCUCUCCAGCCAGUAUACUCGACUACCUCCUGAGAGAUCACGUACGGUUAGGGCAGAAUUGUGUACAGGUGGCUGGAAUCUCAGGCGAGUGCUUCAUGACCCUCUCCACCCCAACCCCUUUCUCUGAGGAAAGAUGGGGCCAAUUCCCGAUGGGGAUGGUCUCUUACAAGCAGGUGCACCUGAUCCGAUGUGGGGCCUUUCUUUGAGGAUUGGACUGGACCAGACCAACUCUUCCUGGGCAGAGCCUACAGCACAGCACAUUCUUUUAUUGUGAGGAGAUGGGGCGUGGCCUUCACAGAUGAAUUGAGAUGCAGGUUGCCGAGAAGAGGAUGUGCAAGAAAGGAGCCGAGUUCAUCUAGCAGUAUGUCAGUGGCGAGGAUCCUCUGUGUACAGAUCUCCAGCGUGGACUCUGCCUCAUGAGUUUGACAGCAAUGUAGUUGAAAGCAGGAGAACGGCGGAAGGCUAGGAUCUCACAGGCCCAGAAGUGACAGAAGGUGACAAGUUUCCCUUUCUGUGCCCUUCUGUCCCCAGAGAAUCCAUCUAUCCCGUGCCUCUGGUGUCACCUUGUGGUUUCUUCCACGUACAUUGUGGCCAUAAGCUUUUGCCACAGUCAAACAGACAAGGCCAUGCAAUCUUAAACUUGUAGCCUCCAAAACGGCGAGGUAAACCUACUCCUCCACUUUAAACAUUGUUGUGACUGGACAUUCAAAGAGAACAAUGGUUAGUGUUAGCAGACGCCCUUCCGUCUCUGUCUAGCUAUUGUCUGCCUAGCCUCUCUGUCUAUCCAUGAAUUCAUCUGUAACCUUUUAUGAAAAUGAGAUUAUGAGGACCAUUCUCUUUUAUGACUUUUCUUUUGCUAUUACCUAUUCUACUAAAUCUUUUUUUUUACUUUUAAA